CACCAGACUCCUACGGGAGGCAGCAGUGGGGGAUAUUGCACAAUGGGGGGAACCCUGAUGCAGCGACGCCGCGUGGGUGAAGGAGCGUUUCGGCGCGUAAAGCCCUAUCGGCAGGGAAGAAGGAGGACGGUACCUGACUAAGAAGCCCCGGCUAACUACGUGCCAGCAGCCGCGGGAAUACGUAGGGGGCAAGCGUUAUCCGGAUUUACUGGGUGUAAAGGGAGCGUAGGCGGCCUGCCAAGUCUGGAGUGAAAGGCGGGGGCUCAACCCCCGGACUGCUCUGGAAACUGUACGGCUGGAGUGCAGGAGAGGUAAGUGGAAUUCCUAGUGUAGCGGUGAAAUGCGUAGAUAUUAGGAGGAACACCAGUGGCGAAGGCGGCUUACUGGACUGUAACUGACGUUGAGGCUCGAAAGCGUGGGGAGCAAACAGGAUUAGAUACCCCUGUAGG
RNAcentral lists this ribosomal RNA (449 nucleotides) under uncultured bacterium. Its description in RNAcentral is "partial 16S ribosomal RNA". It matches the Rfam family "Bacterial small subunit ribosomal RNA", at positions 329 to 794 of the family's 1533-position model. The record is from RNAcentral.